CGCCGAAAUGUUGAUUUGUCAUCGGUCUCAACUUGUUGGCUUUUGCCUUUCGAAAACGUAGUAAAUUUUACGUAAGGAUCUUCGCUUAGAUCUAUUGGUAAAUGUAGUCAAAAAUUGGACUCAUCAAACGGAACAUGUAACUCGUAGCCGUGGCGGACGCAAGCUGCAUAUCAUACCCAAAAACAGACACCAUGAAAUUAUCAACCAGUUUAUAAGAAAAAAAUAGUCCUUUCAAUAAUAUUUCAGUUUUGUAUUAUCAUUUAAAAUUCUAAAGCUCUUAAAAUACACCGUCUACAUUUCCAUUUCA
This is a long non-coding RNA of Anastrepha ludens (Mexican fruit fly), 307 nucleotides long. RefSeq lists it as uncharacterized. NCBI's taxonomy places the organism in Eukaryota, Metazoa, Arthropoda, Insecta, Diptera, Tephritidae. The record is from RefSeq and is a predicted model, not a curated record. The transcript is spliced from 2 exons.